This 293-nucleotide unclassified non-coding RNA is filed under the name uncultured Buckleyzyma. Its description in RNAcentral is "sequence contains ITS2". The stretch from base 1 to 52 matches the Rfam family "5.8S ribosomal RNA", at positions 103 to 154 of the family's 154-position model. The record is from RNAcentral. Lineage: Eukaryota; Fungi; Basidiomycota; Cystobasidiomycetes.
AACGCACCUUGCACUCUUUGGUAUUCCGAAGAGUAUGUCUGUUUGAGUGUCAUGAAACUCUCAACCCCCUUAUUUUGUAAUGAAGUAAGCGUGGGCUUGGUUCAUGGUUGUUGAAGGCUUAACAGUCUUCUCAACUGAAAUACACGAGCUACCUAUUUUAUAAUAGACGGUUUGACUCGGCGUAAUAACUAUUUCGCUGAGGACGUCCUUUUAUAACAGUAAAUGGUGCUUCUAAUUUAACAUCAAUUUAAGAUUUAGACCUCAAAUCAGUCAGGACUACCCGCUGAACUUAA